This 440-nucleotide ribosomal RNA is filed under the name uncultured bacterium. RNAcentral's name for it is "partial 16S ribosomal RNA". It matches the Rfam family "Bacterial small subunit ribosomal RNA", at positions 338 to 795 of the family's 1533-position model. The record is from RNAcentral.
CCUACGGGGGGCUGCAGUAGGGAAUAUUGCUCAAUGGGGGAAACCCUGAAGCAGCAACGCCGCGUGGAGGAUGAAGGUUUUAGGAUUGUAAACUCCUUUUGUUAGAGAAGAUUAUGACGGUAUCUAACGAAUAAGCACCGGCUAACUCCGUGCCAGCAGCCGCGGUAAUACGGAGGGUGCAAGCGUUACUCGGAAUCACUGGGCGUAAAGAGUGCGUAGGCGGGGUAAUAAGUCAGAUGUGAAAUCCUGUAGCUUAACUACAGAACUGCAUUUGAAACUGUUACUCUGGAGUGUGGGAGAGGUAGGUGGAAUUCUUGGUGUAGGGGUAAAAUGCGUAGAGAUCAAGAGGAAUACUCAUUGCGAAGGCGGCCUGCUGGAACAUUACUGACGCUGAUGCACGAAAGCGUGGGGAGCAAACAGGAUUAGAUACCCCAGUAGUC